Molecule: unclassified non-coding RNA, 697 nt
Filed under: Hevea brasiliensis (rubber tree)
Lineage: Eukaryota; Viridiplantae; Streptophyta; Magnoliopsida; Malpighiales; Euphorbiaceae
Source: RNAcentral
UUUUUUUUUUUUUUUUAACACCAUAUCUGCUGCUAUGUCAAAUCAAUAAAAAUCAAUUCUCGUAUAAACCUCACUAUUGUUUAAUUUAAGAGGGGCAAGUUAAGCUGCUUACAUUAACUUGCACACUGGACCUAGGGCCUAAACGAGGACGUACAGAGUAAUUAUGCAAGGGGAAACUUAGGCCAUCUACCCGGAUCGAAAGUGUGCUGUUAACUUUUGCAUUUCCAUCACCAUUUAUGCCUGUGGUAACUCACUGGGCUUCGUUUAUCAAGGUUAUUGACUUCAAGGCCCUUUUUUCCCUCAUAAAAAGGGAUCCAUUUGAGAAAACUCUAGUUAAAGAUUUUUCGGCUGAACUCACUCAUAGACGCUUUCAUAAUCUCAAUAUAGUACUUCAAAUUUAUGUAAAGCACGCUCUUACAAAGUAGAAUUACAUCUCAUAGUUACAAUUAAUAAGAAGCUCAACCUAAACUUCAAUAACUGAUAAGCACAGAGUCUAAGAUGAGGAAAGAAGAUCCAAAGACCAAAGAACACAUAAACAAGCAAGCUAAUACAACGGAAGUGCAAAACAAUAGAAACAUAAAGCAGUGAUAAUUAACCAACUAAAGCUACUGCAUGACGUGUAUCAACAGAAUCAUGCAUUUAUAAUCAGCACUGCCUUCUAGACAAAUGAUUAAUGAAUGAUAUUCACAAACAUAUG